This 292-nucleotide ribosomal RNA is filed under the name uncultured bacterium. RNAcentral describes it as "partial 16S ribosomal RNA". It matches the Rfam family "Bacterial small subunit ribosomal RNA", at positions 505 to 796 of the family's 1533-position model. The record is from RNAcentral.
GUGCCAGCAGCCGCGGUAAUACAGAGGGUGCAAGCGUUGCUCGGAUUUACUGGGCGUAAAGCGUACGCAGACGGUGAGAAAGGUCGGAUGUGAAAGCCCCGGGCUCAACCCGGGAACUGCAUCCGAAACCAUCUCGCUCGAGUGUGGGAGAGGGAAGCGGAAUUCCUGGUGUAGAGGUGAAAUUCGUAGAUAUCAGGAGGAACACCGGCGGCGAAGGCGGCUUCCUGGCCCAUUACUGACGUUCAGGUACGAAAGCGUGGGUAGCAAACAGGAUUAGAUACCCUCGUAGUCC